UGGGUGCAAUCUAAACCCUUGCACGAGUAUCUAUGAGAGGGCAAGUCUGGUGCCAGCAGCCGCGGUAAUUCCAGCUCUCAGAAUGCAUAGAACCAUUGCUGCGGUUAAAAAGCUCGUAGUUGGAUUUGGGCGCGGGCCCCGGACCUCGCUUCGGCGUUGCUCUGGGUGUCCCGUGCUUCAUGCUGGUUGGUCCCUUGGCUUUAGGGUCUUGGGGCGGCUGGCGAGUUUACUUUGAACAAAUCAGAGUGCUCAAGACAGGCUCAACGCCUGAAUGCUCGUGCAUGGAAUAAUAGAAGAGGAUCUCGGUCCGAUUUUGUUGGUUUUGCGGCCGAGGUAAUGAUCAAUAGGGGCGGACGGGGGCAUUCGUACUUCUGCGUGAGAGGUGAAAUUUUUGGACCGCAGGAAGACGCACUACAGCGAAGGCAGUUGCCAAGCACGUCCCCGUUAAUCAUGAACGAAAGUCAGAGGAUCGAAGGCGAUUAGAUACCGCCCUAGUUCUGACCGUAAACGAUGCCAACUAGCGAUCGUCCGGUGGACUCACGUCCCCAGUGGGGAGCUUCCCGGAAACGAAAGUCUUCCGGUUCCGGGGGAAGUAUGGUUGCAAAGCUGAAACUUAAAGGAAUUGACGGAAGGGCACCACCAGGAGUGGAGCCUGCGGCUUAAUUUGACUCAACACGGGGAACCUCANCCGGGCACGACACCGUCGGGAUUGACAGANUGCAGGGCUUUCAUGAUUCGGUGAAUGGUGGUGCAUGGCCGUUCUUAGUUCGUGGAGUGAUUUGUCUCCUUUAUUCCGGUAACGAGCGAGACUCUAGCCUGCUAAAUA
This 826-nucleotide ribosomal RNA is filed under the name Malenchus acarayensis. Its description in RNAcentral is "SSU rRNA". It matches the Rfam family "Eukaryotic small subunit ribosomal RNA", at positions 515 to 1357 of the family's 1831-position model. The record is from RNAcentral. Lineage: Eukaryota; Metazoa; Nematoda; Chromadorea; Rhabditida; Tylenchidae.